Manihot esculenta (cassava) is the source of this 1997-nucleotide RNA transcript. RefSeq lists it as uncharacterized. The record is from RefSeq and is a predicted model, not a curated record. The transcript is spliced from 3 exons. NCBI's taxonomy places the organism in Eukaryota, Viridiplantae, Streptophyta, Magnoliopsida, Malpighiales, Euphorbiaceae.
GCCCUUGAAAUUUCUUUAUUUCUAUUUUACCCACGUGGUUUGUGAAAUUCGGUUGUAUUGGUUGUGCUUGCGGAAUGCAGAUGGAGGAAUUGGAGGAUGUGAUUAGCGUAGAUUCGAGCCGAUGUUGACGGUGGACGCGAAAAGGGCGCUGGUGGGAGCCUGUGCUCGGAUCCUGUCUUCACCCGACCCAUGUGUAUAAUGUGUUUAGGCACAAAAUCCAAUCUGAAUUCCGACGGCGGGACGAAGCUGAUCAGGUUUUUUUCUUUUAAUGAAGAAAAAGAUCGAUCUUUCUACGAUUUUAUUCGUGUUUGCUUGCUAAGAAAAAUCAAGAAUUUAUGGAAUUUGGUUGGGAAUAUUUAUCUAUAGAAGAUUUAGUUUUCCAUUAAACUGAGGAGAGAACUUUAUUUGUAUUCGAAUAGUGAAUAUUUAUUUUUCUGGAUACCAAUUGAAAUUCAAUACUCGAGCUUGUGCUGGAUAUAACUAUGUGAUCUAUUCUAUGUGAACACUUAAACUCAAUUGUUAAUUAGCAAUUUAAAUAACGACUUCUCCUAAUUUGAUGCAAUUUCUUUGCAUACAUACAAAGAUAAAACUUAGAAUUUCCCGCUGUUUUGUUCUUUUACUGGUUGUUUUGUGUGCUUAAAUUUGAUGAUGAUCAGAUUUUUACUAAAUAAAAGCAAUGCAGAAAACCUAUCAGCUGAAAGAAAAGCCUAAAUGAAGUUGAUAGUUUGUGCACCUGAACCCAAUUAGUUUCUGGAAGGAGGUUUAGUUGAACAUACUAGUUAUGCUUCUUUAUCUUAUUUUUGACAGGGAUUGAAAUUUGAACACCUUGUGUUUCCACAAGAGCUUCUCUCUUUGCUCCUCUUUUAAUGAAUAUCAACCAUGAAGGACAGAUCCAGUGGCACAAGUACUUAUGUUCAUUGUAAAGCCUGGCAAGGGAGGAGUACAACUAUCAUGCUUUGAAGAAACGAUCUUAUGCCUGUCUUAUUUGGGAUAUUUCAUCCCUACAAAUGGGUGGAUGAUAUGAGCUCAAAAUUUUCCUGAGCAUCAAACAUCUAUCUACUGUAGCAAGCCAUUUACUUCUUGUUCUUAUUUUGGCAUUGUCUGGUUGAUGACAUUAUCAGAUUGAGUUCACUACAUUUUGCAGGUCUAGAAGAACCUCAAAUGUUGCCUGCUUCAUCACAGUGGAAGAUAAUUAAUAAGAUUUCCUCAAAACUGUUUUACGGAGCAAUGUGAAUUAUUUUAGUAGAAGCUAUGCAAAUUCCUGGUUUGGUCCUUUCCCACAAGGAUUGAGGUUUGCAAGUGCUUGGGAGUCAUGAAAUGCUGUGUCAUUCUAAUGGGAUCUUCCUGCAUCUUGGAUUGAGCCAUUUUAAGCCAGUUCCAUGUGAUUUUAGGAUUUUUUUGAUAAAUGAGAAAGCAUCGACCACUUCCUACAGGACAUUCUGCCAUGGGGAUGUAUUUCUGAUGACUAAAGCAGAUCUGGAAGAAUAUAAUAGUGCAUGUGAUGAUGAAGCCAUUGGUAAGGAACUGCAAAUUGCCCCUAAAAUCAAGGCCAGGCGUAAGACGGCUACGGUGUCCUGUCUCAUUGCUUGCUUGAAAGUUUCUGGUGUGUGUGUACCUGUUGCAGGUCAGAUGCUUUUGGCACGUGCUUGCUGAGACCCUAAAUCCUUCAUGAACUUUUGUGAGUUUGUCUUUCAGUAAAUAGAAGCUUCGUGAAAAAAAAAAAAGAAUUUUACAUUAACCCUCUGUAUAUGGGAGAAAACUGAACAUAAAAGCUUGAAAUGGAUAAAUUCUUCAAAGUGUUGCAUGUGUCACAGUGAUAGCAGUCGAGAAACAAUCUGCAUCUUUUGUCCAUCAAUGUUGUUUACUUUCAUGAACUUGUAGUAGACAUUUGUGAAUUAUAACUUGGUUUCACUGGGCUCCAACAGGAGUUCAAACUUCGAAAUUCAUUAUUCCAAAGACCAUUCAAAUACCAUGUAGAAGUAAUUUAUUUUGCAGUU